CUACGGGUCGCUGCAGUGGGGAAUAUUGCACAAUGGGGGAAACCCUGAUGCAGCGACGCCGCGUGAAGGAUGAAGGUCUUCGGAUCGUAAACUUCUAUCAGCAGGGAAGAAACAAAUGACGGUACCUGACUAAGAAGCUCCGGCUAACUACGUACCAGCAGCCGCGGUAAUACGUAGGGAGCGAGCGUUAUCCGGAUUUACUGGGUGUAAAGGGUGCGUAGGCGGCCUGGUAAGUUAGAAGUGAAAUUUUGGGGCUCAACCCCAGAGCUGCUUCUAAAACUGCUGGGCUAGAGUGCAGGAGAGGAAAGCGGAACUCCACGUGUAGCGGUGAAAUGCGUAGAGAUGUGGAGGAACACCAGUAGCGAAGGCGGCUUUCUGGACUGUAACUGACGCUGAGGCACGAAAGCGUGGGGAGCAAACAGGAUUAGAUACCCCAGUAGUC
Molecule: ribosomal RNA, 442 nt
Filed under: uncultured bacterium
Lineage: Bacteria
Description: partial 16S ribosomal RNA
Rfam family: Bacterial small subunit ribosomal RNA
Source: RNAcentral